This 73-nucleotide transfer RNA is filed under the name Buchnera aphidicola (Pentalonia nigronervosa). RNAcentral's name for it is "tRNA-Thr". It matches the Rfam family "tRNA". Rfam says of the family: Transfer RNA (tRNA) molecules are approximately 80 nucleotides in length. Their secondary structure includes four short double-helical elements and three loops (D, anti-codon, and T loops). Lineage: Bacteria; Pseudomonadati; Pseudomonadota; Gammaproteobacteria; Enterobacterales; Erwiniaceae. The record is from RNAcentral.
GCUGAUAUGGCUCAGUAGGUAGAGCACAUCCUUGGUAAGGAUGAGGUCCCCAGUUCAAUCCUGGGUAUCAGCA